GGAACAAUUUUGAAGUACAGUAGAUUAGUAGGAUCAGCUGACCUUACUAAUCUACUCUACUUAGAGUUUGGGCCC
Non-coding RNA from Haemonchus contortus (barber pole worm), 75 nucleotides. The record is from Rfam. Lineage: Eukaryota; Metazoa; Nematoda; Chromadorea; Rhabditida; Trichostrongylidae.